GUAUCUCUUGUUUCUUCUCUAACAGCUGCAAAUGUUCACAGAAGGUUUAUAUGGAAAAUAUUUAACAAGAAGAAAACCUUUCUUUUGCUUGUCCUUCUCAGAAAAUUGCUUAAUUUUUGUCUGCACUUCCACAUGUUCAUAGCUUACUGUGCACUGAAAAUGAAGAAUUCCCAUGAGUUCCUCUACACUUAAGUGAAAUUAAAAAGAAGUGAUAGAGGAUGGUCCAAUACCAGUAAGGUAAGGGAGUGUGUACAAUAUUUUGUUGAAUUAAAUUCCCAUAUGCAAUAAUAAUAAAAUGAUAGGUAUUUAGGCUGUUAUUUCA
This is a long non-coding RNA of Zonotrichia albicollis (white-throated sparrow), 322 nucleotides long. Lineage: Eukaryota; Metazoa; Chordata; Aves; Passeriformes; Passerellidae. The record is from Ensembl.